UUCAAGAUCUAUACCCAAGUUAUUUGUGGAAACAUUAAAGAGCCCUGAAAUUGAGCCCUGUGGAACCCCACUAGUGACUGGCCACCAUCUUAAUGUAACCCCACUUUGAGCCUGAUCCACCAGACAAUGGUUCAACUAUUGCAUUAUGUCUUUGUCUAGCUGUAUGCUGUACGUUUUGUCCAAAAAGAUACUGUGAGACACAGUACUGAAACCUUCGCUGAAAUCCAAAAGAUUUCAUCAAAUGGCUUCCCUCAGUCAACUAGAUGGUUAAUCUGUCAUAAAAAGAGAUUAAGUUCAUUAAACACUACUUUCCCAUUGUGAACCUGUGUUGGCUGUGGCCAAUGAGUGCAUUGUCUUUUGGGUGUUUUCCAGUAACUCCUCCAAUAAUCAAGUCUGCAGUUUUGCCAGGCACCGAAUUGAGGCUGACAGGCCUGUAAUUACCAACGUCUUCUUUCUCACCCUUCUUGAAAAUUGAGAUGUUUGCCAAUUUCCAAUCAACUGGGAGCUUCUCAGAUUCCCAAGACCAUUGAAAAAUAAUUGAGUGAGGUCUCACAGUGGCAUAAGGUAGCACUUAGUGCACCUAGGAUAAAUCCCAUCAGGCCCCUUAGAUUUCUUUGUGUCCACAAGAUAUAGGAGGAAGUCAUGAGAAAGUACUCAGAACUGGGCAAAUAAAACCAAGCGACAACUUCAGUUGGAAAAUCUUUAAGAGCAAGAGAAUGUCUUGAAAUUCAAAUUUAUUCACAGUGACUUCUAGCAAAAAUAAUAGCCACACAAAUUUUUGUUUACAAAGCCUUCAGCUCAUUAGAAGGCUGAUCAUCCUAAUAUGUUUAAGACAAAAGAAAAAGGAGGAAAAAAGGAGAGACCUUUCAAAAUACAACUGAGAAGACCAUGAGAUAUUCCAGAGUCCAUGUUAUUAUGUAAAUAAUCUCUUCUUGGAAAAGUUCACUGUGGCUAAGCCCAAGUUUCAAAUUUCAAGUUUCAAGUCAACCUUUUCAAGUUGUUAACUAAACUACACCACAUCUGAUUCUUCACUGGCAAUUUCCUGCAGGUUCACAUAAUUUACUGAGAAAUUUAUAUGUCUGUUACCAUUCAGAUUUGUUAAACUGUAAGUCUUCCACAUUCUGGAAAAAUCUAAAUGAAGUAUUACACUGGGGGGAAAAAAAUGCCAAGGUUACAGCUGAGACAAAUAAACUGAGAUAAGUAAAUAUUCACCCUGAGGAUAAGCCUUCUUAAAUGGCGCCAACGUUUUUCUCUUGAAAGUAUUUGUUUAUAAACAUCAGAAAAGGUCAAAUAUUUGUUGUUCAUUUGCACUCAGACAAUAACAUCACUACAAUAAAUAAAUAAAUAAAUAAAUAAAUAAAUAAAUAAUUCACCCCAGAAUUUCAGGUCAUUUGUGUAGUUCAUUUACUAAAGACAUCUUGUAUGUAUUACAUUCCAUAGUGGUGUUCAGAUACAUUUCUUCCAACAGGCCAAAACAUGUUCUUCAGAGAACCCACAGGAGGAAACAUCAGACAUAUUCUUUAAAUUCCUUCACUUGUUUCAAAAAAUGCAUUAAAAAUAUUGGAUAAAGGUUAAUAAGACAUACUGAUAAAACUAUAUGUAAUUUGGAAGUAAAGCACAUUUCAUCCAAAAAGAACUAUGGAAGUUAAAACUGAGUGUUAAUUUCUCAAUUUCUGCUGUGAUGACAAUGCUACAACUGCUUUACAUUUUUAGGGAGAAGAAGGGCUCUUCCACAAUAAGCUACUUCCAGAGCCAUUAUCCCCAAAGGAAUGAAUAGACAACUGUAUUCAGAAAGAGACAUUGUUAAUAAACUUGAGGGAAAGCAAACAGUUCUGCUGCCAUUACAUGAAUACUUCCAGUGAUUCAAAAUAAGCU
Molecule: long non-coding RNA, 1875 nt
Filed under: Gallus gallus (chicken)
Lineage: Eukaryota; Metazoa; Chordata; Aves; Galliformes; Phasianidae
Description: lncRNA (ENSGALG00010013891.1)
Source: RNAcentral